UUAAGUGGAUCUCUUCGGAUUGAAACUUAUUUGACUGAGCGGCGGACGGGUGAGUAACGCGUGGGUAACCUGCCUCAUACAGGGGGAUAACAGUUAGAAAUGGCUGCUAAUACCGCAUAAGCGCACAGGACCGCAUGGUCUGGUGUGAAAAACUCCGGUGGUAUGAGAUGGACCCGCGUCUGAUUAGCUAGUUGGAGGGGUAACGGCCCACCAAGGCGACGAUCAGUAGCCGGCCUGAGAGGGUGAACGGCCACAUUGGGACUGAGACACGGCCCAGACUCCUACGGGAGGCAGCAGUGGGGAAUAUUGCACAAUGGGGGAAACCCUGAUGCAGCGACCCCCCGUGAAGGAAGAAGUAUCUCCGUAUGUAAACUUCUAUCAGCAGGGAAGAAAAUGACGGUACCUGACUAAGAAGCCCCGGCUAACUACGUGCCAGCAGCCGCGGUAAUACGUAGGGGGCAAGCGUUAUCCGGAUUUACUGGGUGUAAAGGGAGCGUAGACGGAAGAGCAAGUCUGAUGUGAAAGGCUGGGGCUUAACCCCAGGACUGCAUUGGAAACUGUUUUU
Molecule: ribosomal RNA, 565 nt
Filed under: uncultured bacterium
Lineage: Bacteria
Description: bacterial SSU rRNA
Rfam family: Bacterial small subunit ribosomal RNA
Source: RNAcentral